RNAcentral lists this ribosomal RNA (546 nucleotides) under Diaspididae sp. D0850A. RNAcentral's name for it is "eukaryotic LSU rRNA". Lineage: Eukaryota; Metazoa; Arthropoda; Insecta; Hemiptera; Diaspididae. The record is from RNAcentral.
AUCUGGGCGGCGGAAUUCAGGAUGACGGGCGUGCCUCGCGGCGCGUCGGUCGUUUGAUAUUUCCGUCGCCGAUCACCCUCAGACGUCGCGACCUGUUCGCGGUCGGUCCCUGCUCGGAGGAGCUGCGUUCGAGUUCGUUGUGUACGCGUUUCGGCGUGUCACACGGCGAAGGCGCGGAUCUCUGGCUGGCCGUCGGACAGUAUGCUUACGGUGUCCGGUGCCGUCGUCUCGUACGCGCGCGCACCGGUACCGGUCAGCGACGAAUUCUUCGGGCCUCUUUCCGACCCGUCUUGAAACACGGACCAAGGAGUCUAACAUGCGCGCGAGUCGCGGGGUGUCGAGCGUACUUCGGUGCGUUCGUUAUGUUGCGAAACCCGUACAUGUCGAAGGCGUAAUGAAAGUGAAUGGGGAAGAUGGUGUUCCGAGUACACGUUCCGCGAUCAUCGGUAUCGCGGCCGGACACCCGCAUUCCCGGGGCGUCUCAACGGCCCGUCGCUGAUGCGGACAGUCGUCUUUCGGGGCGGCUGUCGGUCGGCGAUGAACCGA